RNAcentral lists this long non-coding RNA (2469 nucleotides) under Solanum tuberosum (potato). RNAcentral's name for it is "long non-coding RNA (STUB_LNC004974)". Lineage: Eukaryota; Viridiplantae; Streptophyta; Magnoliopsida; Solanales; Solanaceae. The record is from RNAcentral.
AAUUACAGAAUCACGUCUUCCAAAUUUGUUGCUACUACGACUGCCAUCAGGUAGUUUAUGGUUUUGUUUCACAGUUACUUUUAAGCAGAACCGUACUACUCAAAUAUACAACAAGAUUUUUGGUCCAUAACUACAAUUGAUGACAGGUUAUUGUGUUUUUAGGUCAAUCAGUUAAAACUGUAAGCAUCAUAUGUACUUAUUUUUUUCUCGCCUUUGCAACCUAUGGUCAGUUUUUGAAAGCCAGUGGUAAAUAUCUUGUGACAUGAAAAACAGAUAAAUGUAUUGAUGAAGUGCUCCAAGAGGCUGAUAUUGCUAUUAUCUACACCGAAAGUGCACUAUUGAAUUUCUUAUUCAUUUAUCUGUAUACAUAGUACUACUGGAUUUCUCAUUCAAGUUCUUAAAGCUUUUGUAGAUAAGUUUAAAUGCAAUCCUUGAUAAAACAAUGUAUCACCUUGUAAACAAAAAACAGUUUGGGUGGAUGAAGAAGGUAAUUUUAGUUGCAAGAUUAUCUAAUGUGCUUUCUGAUUUAUCUAAGUGCGAUGUCUUGAUGUUACUCCACUGAAACUUGUUAGAAGUGAUACUUGUGAACUAUAAUAGGGGGUCUGUGAUAGGUGAGGGAGCUCUUGUUGAGCAUCUGAGAGAAAAUCUCAUGUUUUGUGUUGGAGUUGAUGUGUUUAAGCUAAUCACAGUACUAACAUUUUUCUUUUAAAUCUCUUGUGAGGUGUGAAUCCUGCAGUGUGGUCGAAAAAUUGCCUAUUCUUUAGAUGAGACAUAAUAGUGUGAUCACUCCGCAAGAAUCCACUAUCAAUCAAUGUGUUUAUCUUUUGCUGUUAGAUAAUCACAGUAUUUAUCAAUAAUCACCCUUGUAAUAGGAGUAGCUUAAAGGCAAUGGAUAUUUUAAUGAAGGAAAUCUAGGACCUCUUGGUAGUCAUGCUUUGCAAUUGAUACUGCAAUUACCUGUACUUUUUUCAAAUACUUCAUUGUCCUGUUUUAUUGCCACCAUUUGGACCUUAAUAGAGCGGAAUAAAUAUAGAGGAUUCACAUAGCGCAAACUAACUUGGGAUUGAGUCUGAGUUGAUUGAUUGAUAUACUCUAUAUGAUUUCCAAUUCUUUCUAGAUGAAAUACUUGCUCAGGAACAAAUUGACAAAGCAGUGAAAGUCUUGUUUGGGGCUAUAUUACAUGGUUUAGUAUUUAUUGCUUGAAGCUGUAUCUUCCUUGAGCUGAGUAUGCUGAAAUGUAAAUAAAUUGGUUCAAAUAAUUUCUUGAACAGAUCCCCAACGAGUUUUUACAUGCUGAGUACGGUGGUGUAGGAACAUUAUUGGUUGUUCCAUUCAUCGAUAUGGCAGAUACCAUAAACGAUAGGGGUUUACCAGGUGUGGACCACAGAUAAAUAAUUUUUUAUAUUGGAUUAUAUCUUUUUGGAUUGAAGAACAAAAGUUUUAAUUUUUGAUUGAAUCACGUUGAAGAAUACAUUGCAUGGUUUUGGGAGAGAAGAUGGAGGAGGAAGAAAGAGCAAUAAGCAGAGCUACCAGGUUAAUGUUUUUCUGUUACAUUUUCUUUUUGUGCUUUAUAAAAUUAUUUUAUUUUUGUGUUGUUGAUUUCUGUUAUGGUCAAUGUUAAAUUAUUUUUGUUAAAAAGAAUAGGGUAGUAGAAGUUUUGUUUGUUUUGUUUUGUUUAUUUUUUGUGGUUUGGGUGACCAAGCUGUUAUCUGAACGUUUGGUCUGAGUCUUGAGUUUGGAGUGGCAUAUCAUCAGGUUCGAAUAUUUUACGAUAAUUAGGAUGAGUACAACGUGACCCUUAUGCUUGAUCUUUUUCAUAAAAAAAAGUACAUUUUUCACCAUCAUAAGUGUUCCUUAUGAAAUAGACUGAGAAGUCUUGGAAUGUUGCUAGUAACUAGAGUUCAAAUAUGGAGAGACGGUGAUGGAGGAAAACCUAGAAGGUGUUUCAUGUUUUUGUUGUGUGUAAUGUAAUUCUGUGAAAAAUGCUUGACUAUUAUUUGAGCAAAAGGUGUUCUUUCUAUGCAAUAUUUCAUGAUUUCUCUACUUCAUCAAUUUGAAUUAACGGAAAUCAUCAGUACUGAGAAUGAACGUAGCGCAUCACGUCACCUGAAGCAUUGUGCCUUAGAAGGGAACAUACCAAUUACAGUUAGACUCUUCUUUAAUUACGUAGUUUAGCUGGUUAAUUGAAUUAUUUAGUUUAAGUAUAUUAAGCUCCAACUUGCAUAAAAGUGCAUUGUGGAAUAGCCAUUGAUGCUCUGAUGUUUUGGAGCAUCCAAAUCUCUUCUUUUUAGCUCUACCUUACCAUAUAACACUUCAUUUUUUGUUUUUCAUUUUGUUCAGACAAGUUACUGGAUCAUAAGGAGUUUACAACAUAGAAAUUUUGUUUUGUAUAAAUAAUACUAAUAAACUGUUUGUAAAAAUUAUUCAUUCAAUUAUAAAUGACACUUUCAAGGGGAAAAAAGAGGACGC